UGACUACUGCGUGUGAAGAUUUAGUUAAG
RNAcentral lists this non-coding RNA (29 nucleotides) under Rattus norvegicus (Norway rat). The record is from RNAcentral. Lineage: Eukaryota; Metazoa; Chordata; Mammalia; Rodentia; Muridae.